AUCCUGAUGAGUAUGAGUCAUCCGGUAAAACUCCACUUUAUCGGGUUCCCUCCCAUGCUCAUCCACCUACACAAAUAAUUUUAAUUUUAAGCAAACAGUUAUAACAAUUUAAAAAAAUAUAUGAGUAUCAUGAUACAGACAUGGUCCAUGAUACAUAAUGAUAUUAGUUAUAUAAAUAUUUUAACAUAAAAAUUAGAAGUUAAUUAUGAAAGUUUA
RNAcentral lists this long non-coding RNA (216 nucleotides) under Elaeis guineensis (African oil palm). RNAcentral describes it as "long non-coding RNA (EGUI_LNC078779)". The record is from RNAcentral. Lineage: Eukaryota; Viridiplantae; Streptophyta; Magnoliopsida; Arecales; Arecaceae.